This 67-nucleotide transfer RNA is filed under the name Tanaisia sp. SS-2020. RNAcentral's name for it is "tRNA-Lys". It matches the Rfam family "tRNA". Rfam says of the family: Transfer RNA (tRNA) molecules are approximately 80 nucleotides in length. The record is from RNAcentral. Lineage: Eukaryota; Metazoa; Platyhelminthes; Trematoda; Plagiorchiida; Eucotylidae.
GCGGGAGUAGCUUAAGUUAAAAGCUUUGGAUUCUUACUUCAAUGUUGCGGCGUGUUCGCCUCCUGUG